This 587-nucleotide ribosomal RNA is filed under the name Nostoc sp. MZ45.7SOIL. RNAcentral describes it as "bacterial SSU rRNA". It matches the Rfam family "Bacterial small subunit ribosomal RNA", at positions 122 to 741 of the family's 1533-position model. Lineage: Bacteria; Bacillati; Cyanobacteriota; Cyanophyceae; Nostocales; Nostocaceae. The record is from RNAcentral. RNAcentral also lists the same sequence under 1 other name.
GAAUCUAGCUUCAGGUUUGGGACAACCACUGGAAACGGUGGCUAAUACCGAAUGUGCCGAGAGGUGAAAGGCUUGCUGCCUGAAGAUGAGCUCGCGUCUGAUUAGCUAGUAGGUGGGGUAAGAGCCUACCUAGGCGACGAUCAGUAGCUGGUCUGAGAGGAUGAUCAGCCACACUGGGACUGAGACACGGCCCAGACUCCUACGGGAGGCAGCAGUGGGGAAUUUUCCGCAAUGGGCGAAAGCCUGACGGAGCAAUACCGCGUGAGGGAGGAAGGCUCUUGGGUUGUAAACCUCUUUUCUCAGGGAAGAAGACAAUGACGGUACCUGAGGAAUCAGCAUCGGCUAACUCCGUGCCAGCAGCCGCGGUAAUACGGAGGAUGCAAGCGUUAUCCGGAAUGAUUGGGCGUAAAGCGUCCGCAGGUGGCUGUGUAAGUCUGCUGUCAAAGAGCGAAGCUCAACUUCGUAAAGGCAGUGGAAACUACACGGCUAGAGUGCGUUCGGGGCAGAGGGAAUUCCUGGUGUAGCGGUGAAAUGCGUAGAGAUCAGGAAGAACACCGGUGGCGAAGGCGCUCUGCUAGGCCGCAACU